AUACGUACCUCCAGAAUUCUGUCAGCUAAAUUAGUGAUAACGAGGCGCGUACCAUUACAUAAACUGGUUGUCUGAUUAAGAUUCCUGAGAAGCAUCACUGGAACUCCAACUUUAAGAACAAGGCAAUGAUCAGGAAAAUUAUUAACCUUCAACCAAUUCAAAAAUUCAACCGGAUAUAAUAAUUCGACAUCAUCAACUAUAUCCGAACACUUAGAAACACAAUCAAAACUCAAAUAUUCUUUCCUUUUUCCUAGG
RNAcentral lists this long non-coding RNA (255 nucleotides) under Setaria viridis. RNAcentral describes it as "long non-coding RNA (SVIR_LNC007144)". The record is from RNAcentral. Lineage: Eukaryota; Viridiplantae; Streptophyta; Magnoliopsida; Poales; Poaceae.